RNAcentral lists this ribosomal RNA (253 nucleotides) under uncultured bacterium. Its description in RNAcentral is "partial 16S ribosomal RNA". It matches the Rfam family "Bacterial small subunit ribosomal RNA", at positions 524 to 776 of the family's 1533-position model. The record is from RNAcentral.
UACGAAGGGGGCUAGCGUUGUUCGGAAUCACUUGGCGUAAAGGGCGCGUAGGCGGCUUUAUAAGUCGGGGGUGAAAGCCUGUGGCUCAACCACAGAAUUGCCUUCGAUACUGUAGAGCUUGAGACCGGAAGAGGUAAGUGGAACUGCGAGUGUAGAGGUGAAAUUCGUAGAUAUUCGCAAGAACACCAGUGGCGAAGGCGGCUUACUGGUCCGGUUCUGACGCUGAGGCGCGAAAGCGUGGGGAGCAAACAGG